Molecule: ribosomal RNA, 474 nt
Filed under: uncultured bacterium
Lineage: Bacteria
Description: partial 16S rRNA
Source: RNAcentral
GCACGGAGUUAGCCGGGGCUUCUUCUACGGGUACCGUCAAACCUUGCGGUUUUCUUCCCCGUCGAAAGGGUUUUACGUCCCAAGAGACUUCAUCACCCACGCGGCGUUGCUUCGUCAGGGUUGCCCCCAUUGCGAAAAAUUCCCCACUGCUGCCUCCCGUAGGAGUCUGGACCGUGUCUCAGUUCCAGUGUGUCCGACCGUCCUCUCAGACCGGAUACUGAUCGUAGCCUUGGUGAGCCGUUACCUCACCAACUAGCUAAUCAGCCGCGGGCUCCUCCAAGAGCGAAUUGCUCCUUUCAUCACAACAUCCGAAGACAUCGUGAUCGUAUGCGGUAUUAGCACCGGUUUCCCGGUGUUAUUCCCCACUCUAGGGCAGAUUACCCACGUGUUACUCACCCGUGCGCCGCUUUACUCAGGGCCGAAGCCCCUUUCUCGCUCGACUUGCAUGUGUUAGGCGCGCCGCCAGCGUUGAUU